UAUUCUAAUAGCUUAUAAAGAGCAUUACACUGAAGAUGUAAAGGAAAUAUUAAUAUUUUAGGAUAU
RNAcentral lists this transfer RNA (66 nucleotides) under Dermestes coarctatus. Its description in RNAcentral is "tRNA-Phe". The record is from RNAcentral. Lineage: Eukaryota; Metazoa; Arthropoda; Insecta; Coleoptera; Dermestidae.